This 253-nucleotide ribosomal RNA is filed under the name uncultured bacterium. RNAcentral describes it as "partial 16S ribosomal RNA". It matches the Rfam family "Bacterial small subunit ribosomal RNA", at positions 524 to 776 of the family's 1533-position model. The record is from RNAcentral.
UACGUAGGCAGCGAGCGUUGUUCGGAGUUACUGGGCGUAAAGCGUGCGUAGGCGGUGUUCCAAGUCUGUUGUGAAAUCUCCCGGCUUAACUGGGAGGGUGCGGCGGAAACUGGAACGCUGGAGUAUGGGAGAGGUAAGCGGAAUUCCCGGUGUAGUGGUGGAAUGCGUAGAUAUCGGGAGGAACAUCAGUGGCGAAAGCGGCACCCUGGCACUUGCCUGACGCUCAUGUGCGAAAGCGUGGGGAGCGAACCGG